GAUGAACGCUGGCGGCGUGCUUAAUACAUGCAAGUCGAACGGCAGCACGGACUUCGGUCUGGUGGCGAGUGGCGAACGGGUGAGUAACAUAUCGGAACGUAUCCAAUAAUGGGGGAUAACUAAUCGAAAGGUUGGCUAAUACCGCAUACGCCCUGAGGGGGAAAGCUAGGGAUCGUCAAGACCUGGCGUUAAUGGAGCGGCCGAUAUCUGAUUAGCUAGUUGGUGGGGUAAAGGCCCACCAAGGCGACGAUCAGUAGCUGGUCUGAGAGGACGACCAGCCACACUGGAACUGAGACACGGUCCAGACUCCUACGGGAGGCUG
Molecule: ribosomal RNA, 322 nt
Filed under: uncultured Pseudomonadota bacterium
Lineage: Bacteria; Pseudomonadati; Pseudomonadota
Description: bacterial SSU rRNA
Rfam family: Bacterial small subunit ribosomal RNA
Source: RNAcentral